CGGGCCACACGCAUGCCAGGCGAGCGCGCUACCGCUUGAGCCACAUCCCCUCUGUUUUCAAUUCUAAUGGCUAGGGAUCAGGGCAACUAAUUUAUUAGUAGGAAGUGAGUCAGAUAAAAUGUGCAGAGAAAUACUUCUUGGAAAAGAUGAGGUAAUGAAUAUGAGAAACACUUAGAGGAAGAAGGGGAAUAUAUUUGGUGUAAAAAGAGGACAAAGAAAGAUGCAGUGGUGUACACCUAUAAUCCCAGCUGCUUAGGAGGCUGAGGCAGGGGGAUUGCAAGUUCAAAGCUAGCCUGAGCAAUUUAGCAAAGUCCCUAAAGCAACUUAAUGAGACCCUGUCUCUAAAUAAAUAUAAAAAGGGGCUUAGGAUAUGGCUCAGUGGUUGAGCACUCCUGGGUUUAAUCCCCAGUACCAAAAACAAAAGGAGGCCAAAGAAUAGCAUUUUGAAGAAUUUUGAUAUGAUCUAAGGACUGACCAAUUGAUUUUUUUCUUUUCUUUUUUAUUUUUGGUCCUGGGGGUUUAACCCAGGACAUUCUACCACUGAGCUACCUCCCCAGCCCUUUUUAUUGUUUAUUUUGAGACAUGGCCUUGAACUGGUGAUCCUCCAGUCUCAACCUCACAAGUCACUAUGAUUAUAGGCAUGCACCACCAUUUCCAACUCCAACUUAUUUUUAUAGUUUAAAAUCUUUAGGAAAGCCAAGAUUUCUGGUGCAACACAUAUAAUCCCAGAGACUCAGGAGGUAGAGGCAGGAAGAUUACAAGUUGGAGGCCAGCCUGGGCAACUUAGUGAGAUCUUAUCUCAAAAAAUAAAAAGGUCUAGGGAUGCAGCUAAGUCUUAGAGAACCCCCAGGUUCAAUCCCCAUUAUGGGGGUGGUGGUAGGGAAUCCUUAGAGAUUGUUAGCCUUGUCUUUUUGGGUGGGGAUACUGAAAUGCAGAGGGUUUAAUUGGCUUGGCCAAGGUCAUUUAGCAAAUGCAUGACAGAACCAAAACUUAAGUCCAGGAAUUUUGCAUACAAGUCCUUCUACACUCUGGACUAUGUUUAGGUAGCAAAGCACUCCCAAAUGUUGUGACAUUAGGACAGAGGGCUCAUGGUCAUUCCCUGCAGUUUGUUUGGGGGGAAAUCGAAAGAGACGAAUUAUGCAAAAGGGAAUAGGGAACAUCUGUGGUCUCCAUUGCCCCACUCAUCUGACUGUUUACCAAUUUUCCCUUGAGCCAAAACAAGAACUGAGAGAAUGCCCUAAAUAUCUCUAACCAGUUCCUGCCCUCAGCAUUUCUUUGAAGGACAGCUGCACAUGUGAUAAAUUUGCAAAUAUUGGGUGGGGGUGAGGAGAGCUGGAAGUAAGGGAGGGAGGUAUUGGUCAGAUGACCCAGGUGUCCCUAUGAAGUACGAUGAAGUGCUUCAACUCUAGUCAGUCAUUUCUGGUCCCAGGGUUUCUGUGGAGCAUAAGUUAUUUUCUCAAAAUCUUUGACAAUAGUUGCCCUUCUAAGGAAGGAUGACAAAUCUUCCUGCAAUGACACAAACCUCUAAAUUAGUAAGUGAACCUGGGGAUGUGGUUGUGUGGGAUGUAGAUAGUUAAGAUCUAUUGGUCCCCUAAUUUUCGUGGUUGUUGAGUUUUGAGACUGGUUGUACAUAGCUAUUCAUCUCUUUCAACGAAUUCAACAGAUUUCAACAGAUUAUGAUUGAGUUUGGAAGUGCUGGAAACAUGGUCCCUAAUGCAGCAAGGAUCAGAGGUGGGGCUUUUAGGCAUGGAUUGGAUCGUAAAGAUUCUGAUAUCAUCAGUGGUUCAAUCUAAUUGAUAGCUGAAUGAACUACUGGGGGGCAGGACCUAGUUGGAGGAAUUAGAUCCCUGGCAGCAUAUGAGACCUGUCCCAUCCUCUGCUUCCUGUCAUUCUAUAACUGACAAUUUUUCCUCUGCCAUGGUGUUUUGCCAUGAUUUUUCUGUCUUGAAUUAGGUUGACCAUGGGCUAACCCUCUGUAACCAUGAGCCAAAUAAACUUUUCCUCCUUCAAGUUGUUCUUGUCAGGUGUUUUGGUCACACCAUCUGCAGUCCUUAUUUCUAGAUACUCCUGCACCAUAGCUCCAGCCCUUCCUGAUCUACAUCCUCUCUGAACUUCCUUUGGUGCCAUGGUGUAGUUUGGAUUUUCUUUCUUCCACUAGCAAGACAUGUAGAAAAGUUGAUUCUCAUUACAA
RNAcentral lists this long non-coding RNA (2191 nucleotides) under Marmota monax (woodchuck). The record is from RNAcentral. Lineage: Eukaryota; Metazoa; Chordata; Mammalia; Rodentia; Sciuridae.